This 109-nucleotide ribosomal RNA is filed under the name Rhinopithecus bieti (black snub-nosed monkey). Lineage: Eukaryota; Metazoa; Chordata; Mammalia; Primates; Cercopithecidae. The record is from RNAcentral.
AUCUACAGUCAUACCACCCUGAACACACCUAAUCUUGUCUGAUCUUGGAAGCUAAGCAGGGUCCAGUCUGGUUAGUACUUGGAUGGGAGAAAAAUGAUAUCUAUAGGAA